UGGGGAAUAUUGCACAAUGGGCGCAAGCCUGAUGCAGCCAUGCCGCGUGUAUGAAGAAGGCCUUCGGGUUGUAAAGUACUUUCAGCGGGGAGGAAGGCGAUAAGGUUAAUAACCUUGUCGAUUGACGUUACCCGCAGAAGAAGCACCGGCUAACUCCGUGCCAGCAGCCGCGGUAAUACGGAGGGUGCAAGCGUUAAUCGGAAUUACUGGGCGUAAAGCGCACGCAGGCGGUCUGUCAAGUCGGAUGUGAAAUCCCCGGGCUCAACCUGGGAACUGCAUUCGAAACUGGCAGGCUAGAGUCUUGUAGAGGGGGGUAGAAUUCCAGGUGUAGCGGUGAAAUGCGUAGAGAUCUGGAGGAAUACCGGUGGCGAAGGCGGCCCCCUGGACAAAGACUGACGCUCAGGUGGGAAAGCGUGGGGAGCAAACA
This 427-nucleotide ribosomal RNA is filed under the name uncultured bacterium. Its description in RNAcentral is "partial 16S ribosomal RNA". It matches the Rfam family "Bacterial small subunit ribosomal RNA", at positions 355 to 774 of the family's 1533-position model. The record is from RNAcentral.